RNAcentral lists this long non-coding RNA (263 nucleotides) under Populus tremula. RNAcentral's name for it is "long non-coding RNA (PTRE_LNC003062)". Lineage: Eukaryota; Viridiplantae; Streptophyta; Magnoliopsida; Malpighiales; Salicaceae. The record is from RNAcentral.
UCCAUUGUGGAAUCCUGUUGCUAUAUACUUUUAGGAUGUCAAAAUGUGUCAAAGCGGCAUUAAUAGCAUUCCUAGGUGAAAACCCCGAGAUCAUGAGUUUUUGUCCAUCACCAAAUACAUAGUUGGACUUUGAUCUCAUACCAGAAGACCCAAUGGAUUUGCUAUUGAUUCCAGUAAAGGACACUGGUUGGUGUUAACUUGCCCCUUGCAAAGAAUUAAAGCAAUGUUCUCAUCACAAUCUUAAUAUAUUCACUGUUUUUUCA